CCUACGGGAGGCUGCAGUGGGGAAUAUUGGACAAUGGGCGAAAGCCUGAUCCAGCCAUGCCGCGUGUGUGAAGAAGGCCUUCGGGUUGUAAAGCACUUUCAGUGGGGAAGAAAGCCUUGGGGCUAAUACCCUCGAGGAAGGACAUCACCCACAGAAGAAGCACCGGCUAACUCCGUGCCAGCAGCCGCGGUAAUACGGAGGGUGCGAGCGUUAAUCGGAAUUACUGGGCGUAAAGCGCGCGUAGGCGGUCUGAUAAGCCGGUUGUGAAAGCCCCGGGCUCAACCUGGGAACGGCAUCCGGAACUGUCAGGCUAGAGUGCAGGAGAGGAAGGUAGAAUUCCCGGUGUAGCGGUGAAAUGCGUAGAGAUCGGGAGGAAUACCAGUGGCGAAGGCGGCCUUCUGGACUGACAUUGACGCUGAGGUGCGAAAGCGUGGGUAGCAAACAGGAUUAGAUACCCUGGUAGUC
This 465-nucleotide ribosomal RNA is filed under the name Vreelandella stevensii. RNAcentral's name for it is "partial 16S ribosomal RNA". It matches the Rfam family "Bacterial small subunit ribosomal RNA", at positions 338 to 795 of the family's 1533-position model. The record is from RNAcentral. Lineage: Bacteria; Pseudomonadati; Pseudomonadota; Gammaproteobacteria; Oceanospirillales; Halomonadaceae.